AACGCACGAGACCUGCGGACCUGCGGAAGGAUCAUUAAUGAGUGUUAACCCCCCGUAAAAAAGGGAGGUACCUCCUGUCCUUUGCAGGCCCUUUUUAGGGGCUUUUUUGACUUUCUGCUUCGGUGGGGUUAUCCUGCCGGAACAACUUCAAAACUCCGAUUAAAAAACUGUUCUGUCCGAGUGUCUUUAUAAUAUGAAAAAAAAACUUUCAACAACGGAUCUCUAGAUCGGAAGAGCACA
RNAcentral lists this unclassified non-coding RNA (240 nucleotides) under soil metagenome. RNAcentral describes it as "partial contains 5.8S ribosomal RNA, internal transcribed spacer 2, and large subunit ribosomal RNA". The record is from RNAcentral.